This 82-nucleotide transfer RNA is filed under the name Cordylochernes scorpioides. RNAcentral's name for it is "tRNA-Thr". The stretch from base 8 to 64 matches the Rfam family "tRNA", at positions 9 to 63 of the family's 71-position model. From Rfam's summary of the family: Transfer RNA (tRNA) molecules are approximately 80 nucleotides in length. Their secondary structure includes four short double-helical elements and three loops (D, anti-codon, and T loops). The record is from RNAcentral. Lineage: Eukaryota; Metazoa; Arthropoda; Arachnida; Pseudoscorpiones; Chernetidae.
AAUUAAAAGCCUAGUGGACAUGGCAUCUGCCUGGUAAGCGGAACACUGUGGGUUCGAUUCCCAUCCCUGGAUACUUUAUUUU